RNAcentral lists this ribosomal RNA (671 nucleotides) under uncultured bacterium. RNAcentral describes it as "bacterial SSU rRNA". It matches the Rfam family "Bacterial small subunit ribosomal RNA", at positions 35 to 707 of the family's 1533-position model. The record is from RNAcentral.
GCUGGCGGCAUGCUUACACAUGCAAGUCGAACGGUAGAGUAGCAAUACUUGAGAGUGGCGAACGGGUGAGUAUAUAUCGGAACGUGCCCAGUCGUGGGGGAUAACGUAGAGAAAUUUACGCUAAUACCGCAUACGAUCUACGGAUGAAAGCGGGGGAUUCGCAAGAACCUCGCGCGAUUGGAGCGGCUGAUAUCAGAUUAGGUUGUUGGUGAGGUAAAAGCUCACCAAGCCGACGAUCUGUAGCUGGUUUGAGAGAACGACCAGCCACACUGGGACUGAGACACGGCCCAGACUCCUACGGGAGGCAGCAGUGGGGAAUUUUGGACAAUGGGCGAAAGCCUGAUCCAGCAAUGCCGCGUGCAGGAAGAAGGCCUUCGGGUUGUAAACUGCUUUUGUACGGAACGAAACGGUCCGCUUUAAUACAGUGGGCUAAUGACGGUACCGUAAGAAUAAGCACCGGCUAACUACGUGCCAGCAGCCGCGGUAAUACGUAGGGUGCGAGCGUUAAUCGGAAUUACUGGGCGUAAAGCGUGCGCAGGCGGUUAUAUAAGACAAUUGUGAAAUCCCCGGGCUCAACCUGGGAAUUGCAUCUGUGACUGUAUAGCUAGAGUACGGUAGAGGGGGAUGGAAUUCCGCGUGUAGCAGUGAAAUGCGUAGAUAUGCGGAGGGAC